AGGGUUUGAUCAUGGCUCAGGACGAACGCUGGCGGCGCGCCUAACACAUGCAAGUCGAACGGAGCUGAGAGAAGCUUGCUUUUCUUAGCUUAGUGGCGAACGGGUGAGUAACGCGUGGGUAACCUGCCUUGUACUGGGGGACAACAGUUGGAAACGACUGCUAAUACCGCAUAAGCGCACAGCUUCGCAUGAAGCAGUGUGAAAAACUCCGGUGGUACAAGAUGGACCCGCGUCUGAUUAGCUGGUUGGUGAGGUAACGGCCCACCAAGGCAACGAUCAGUAGCCGGCCUGAGAGGGUGAACGGCCACAUUGGGACUGAGACACGGCCCAA
RNAcentral lists this ribosomal RNA (331 nucleotides) under uncultured bacterium. RNAcentral's name for it is "bacterial SSU rRNA". It matches the Rfam family "Bacterial small subunit ribosomal RNA", at positions 8 to 334 of the family's 1533-position model. The record is from RNAcentral.